Molecule: transfer RNA, 72 nt
Filed under: Sus scrofa (pig)
Lineage: Eukaryota; Metazoa; Chordata; Mammalia; Artiodactyla; Suidae
Rfam family: tRNA
About the family: Transfer RNA (tRNA) molecules are approximately 80 nucleotides in length. Their secondary structure includes four short double-helical elements and three loops (D, anti-codon, and T loops).
Source: Rfam by way of RNAcentral
UCCCUGGUGGUCUAGCAGGUAGGAUUCAGCACUUUCAUUACUGGGGCCUGGGUUUAACCCCUGGUCUGGGAA